AGCGAACGCUGGCGGCAGGCUUAACACAUGCAAGUCGAGCGGGCGUAGCAACACGUCAGCGGCAGACGGGUGAGUAACACGUGGGAACGUACCUUUUGGUUCGGAACAACUGAGGGAAACUUCAGAUAAUACCGGAUAAGCCCUAACGGGGAAAGAUUUAUCGCCGAAAGAUCGGCCCGCGUAUGAUUAGCUAGUUGGUGAGGUAAUGGCUCACCAAGGCGACGAUCAGUAGCUGGUCUGAGAGGAUGAUCAGCCACACUGGGACUGAGACACGGCCCAGACUCCUACGGGAGGCAGCAGUGGGGAAUAUUGGACAAUGGGGGCAACCCUGAUCCAGCCAUGCCGCGUGAGUGAUGAAGGCCCUAGGGUUGUAAAGCUCUUUUGUGCGGGAAGAUAAUGACGGUACCGCAAGAAUAAGCCCCGGCUAACUUCGUGCCAGCAGCCGCCGUAA
RNAcentral lists this ribosomal RNA (451 nucleotides) under uncultured bacterium. RNAcentral's name for it is "partial 16S ribosomal RNA". It matches the Rfam family "Bacterial small subunit ribosomal RNA", at positions 29 to 523 of the family's 1533-position model. The record is from RNAcentral.